This 397-nucleotide ribosomal RNA is filed under the name uncultured bacterium. Its description in RNAcentral is "partial 16S ribosomal RNA". It matches the Rfam family "Bacterial small subunit ribosomal RNA", at positions 523 to 918 of the family's 1533-position model. The record is from RNAcentral.
AUACGUAGGUGACAAGCGUUAUCCGGAUUUACUGGGCGUAAAGGGCGUGUAGGCGGUCUUGCAAGUCAGAAGUGAAAUUCCUGAGCUCAACUCGGGCGCUGCUUCUGAAACUGCAGAACUUGAGUGCUGGAGGGGAUAGCGGAAUUCCUAGUGGAGCGGUAAAAUGCGCAGAUAUUAGGAAGAACACCGGUGGCGAAGGCGGCUAUCUGGACAGUAACUGACGCUGAGGCGCGAAAGCGUGGGGAGCAAACAGGAUUAGAUACCCUGGUAGUCCACACCGUAAACGAUGAAUACUAGGUGUAGGGGGUAUCGACUCCCUCUGUGCCGCAGUUAACACAAUAAGUAUUCCGCCUGGGGAGUACGGCCGCGAGGUUGAAACUCAAAUGAAUCGACGGGG